UCUCCGUUGGUGAACCAGCGGAGGGAUCAUUACCGAGUUAUACAACUCCCAAACCCACUGUGAACCUUACCUCAGUUGCCUCGGCGGGAACGCCCCGGCCGCCUGCCCCCGCGCCGGCGCCGGACCCAGGCGCCCGCCGCAGGGACCCCAAACUCUCUUGCAUUACGCCCAGCGGGCGGAAUUUCUUCUCUGAGUUGCACAAGCAAAAACAAAUGAAUCAAAACUUUCAACAACGGAUCUCUUGGUUCUGGCAUCGAUGAAGAACGCAGCGAAAUGCGAUAAGUAAUGUGAAUUGCAGAAUUCAGUGAAUCAUCGAAUCUUUGAACGCACAUUGCGCCCGCCAGCAUUCUGGCGGGCAUGCCUGUUCGAGCGUCAUUUCAACCCUCGAGCCCCCCCGGGGGCCUCGGUGUUGGGGGACGGCACACCAGCCGCCCCCGAAAUGCAGUGGCGACCCCGCCGCAGCCUCCCCUGCGUAGUAGCACACACCUCGCACCGGAGCGCGGAGGCGGUCACGCCGUAAAACGCCCAACUUUCUUAGAGUUGACCUCGGAUCAGGUAGGAAUACCCGCUGAAUUAAAGCAUAUA
Molecule: ribosomal RNA, 585 nt
Filed under: Purpureocillium sp. WC-2018a
Lineage: Eukaryota; Fungi; Ascomycota; Sordariomycetes; Hypocreales; Ophiocordycipitaceae
Description: partial 28S ribosomal RNA
Rfam family: 5.8S ribosomal RNA (bases 222-375)
Source: RNAcentral